CCAGACUCCUACGGGAGGCAGCAGUGGGGGAUAUUGGACAAUGGGGGAAACCCUGAUCCAGCGACGCCGCGUGAGUGAAGAAGUAUUUCGGUAUGUAAAGCUCUGUCAGCAGGGAAGAAAGAAAUGACGGUACCUGACCAAGAAGCCCCGGCUAACUACGUACCAGCAGCCGCGGUAAUACGUAGGGGGCAAGCGUUAUCCGGAAUUACUGGGUGUAAAGGGAGCGCAGGCGGCACGGCAAGCCUGAUGUGAAAGCCCGCGGCCCAACCGCGGGACUGCAUUGGGAACUACCGGGCUGGAGUGCCGGAGAGGUAGGCGGAAUUCCUAGUGUAGCGGUGAAAUGCGUAGAUAUUAGGAGGAACACCAGUGGCGAAGGCGGCCUACUGGACGGUGACUGACGCUGAGGCUCGAAAGCGUGGGGAGCAAACAGGAUUAGAUACCCUAGUAGAG
This 450-nucleotide ribosomal RNA is filed under the name uncultured bacterium. RNAcentral describes it as "bacterial SSU rRNA". It matches the Rfam family "Bacterial small subunit ribosomal RNA", at positions 331 to 793 of the family's 1533-position model. The record is from RNAcentral.